This 491-nucleotide ribosomal RNA is filed under the name uncultured bacterium. Its description in RNAcentral is "partial 16S ribosomal RNA". It matches the Rfam family "Bacterial small subunit ribosomal RNA", at positions 29 to 506 of the family's 1533-position model. The record is from RNAcentral.
AGUGAACGCUGGCGGUAGGCCUAACACAUGCAAGUCGAACGGCAGCACAGUAAGAGCUUGCUCUUACGGGUGGCGAGUGGCGGACGGGUGAGGAAUACAUCGGAAUCUACUUUUUCGUGGGGGAUAACGUAGGGAAACUUACGCUAAUACCGCAUACGACCUACGGGUGAAAGCAGGGGAUCUUCGGACCUUGCGCGAUUGAAUGAGCCGAUGUCGGAUUAGCUAGUUGGCGGGGUAAAGGCCCACCAAGGCGACGAUCCGUAGCUGGUCUGAGAGGAUGAUCGGCCACACGGAAACUGGGAAACGUCCCAGAUCCCAACGGGGGGAAGCGUGGGGAAAAAUUGGCCAAGGGGGGCAGGCCUAUUCCAGCCAAACCGGUUGGUUAAAGAAGGCUUCCGGUUUGUAAAGCCCUUUUUUUGGGAAAGAAAGGCGGCAGUUUAAAACCCCGCGUUUCGGACGUUACCCAAGGAUAAAGCACGGGCUAACUUCGU